GAACGAGAAAGGGCCGCAAGGCCUGAGUACAGUGGCGCACGGGUGAGUAACACGUGACUAACCUACCCUGGAGCGGGGGAUAACCUAGGGAAACCUGGGCUAAUACCGCAUAACACCCACGGGUCAAAGCGAGCAAUCGCACUUUGGGAGGGGGUCGCGGCAGAUUAGCUAGUUGGUGAGGUAAAGGCUCACCAAGGCGAUGAUCUGUAUCCGGCCUGAGAGGGCGCACGGACACACUGGAACUGAAACACGGUCCAGACUCCUACGGGAGGCAGCAGUGGGGAAUUUUGCGCAAUGGGGGAAACCCUGACGCAGCAACGCCGCGUGGAGGAUGAAAUCCCUUGGGAUGUAAACUCCUUUCGCUCGGGACGAUAAUGACGGUACCGAGAGAAGAAGCCCCGGCUAACUUCGUGC
Molecule: ribosomal RNA, 414 nt
Filed under: uncultured bacterium
Lineage: Bacteria
Description: bacterial SSU rRNA
Rfam family: Bacterial small subunit ribosomal RNA
Source: RNAcentral